UCGACAAAAGCAACAGAAUAUUUCCAUGCAACAUACUCUAUAUAUAGAUAGAUCUAAACCACAGUCUUCAAUUACCGUCUUCAUCUGACCGUUCCUGUAUUGAUCAUCUUUGAAAAUGAGAGGCACAAUACUCGUAACCCUGGUGGUCCUUGGUUUGGUGAUCCCUCACGUGACUGCGGCCAACGUGGAAGAUCUCUUCGAUGAUGAAGGGGACCUCCAAAAUAUGUUUCUUGAUGAGGAGGCCUUAGACAACGUCCUGGCUGCUAGCUGCAUGGUUCUCGAAAGCGAUCCACGAUGCCGGUUCCUGGACUAAGAAGGCGGUCCACGAUGCCGGGGAUUGGACAAAGAAAGCCGCCAGUGAUGUUGCGGAUACUGUCAAGAAGGGGUGCGGUGUGAUCAACUCGCUGCCUGGAAAGGAACUGAUGAUGCGUAGGGAUAUACGCGAAGAGGCUCUCCGGGAACGUGGGGUCAGUGAAGACCAGCUUGCCGCUGCGUACUCGGGCUACAAGGGUCUCAAGAGUGUCUGCCAAACUGUGGGUUAAACCAAAUUUACGACAAAGAGGACAAGGACGAUUGAAAGGAAACACAUGAUGAAGCUCGCCUUCGAUCCUCAUUUAAAUUCAUCAACGAUUAUCUGUUUAUCAUUUUCUCAUAUACUUGGACACUUUCAUGAUGCCUGAUUGCGGUUGAUUUACUGAUAAGCAGAAUCUCUGCAGUUUUAAUUCAUUUUUUGUUCACUUCAAAAGAAAAUAAAUUUUGUAAUUCCAAUAUUCUUUUAUAGCCCCCGUAUUUGCGUAACGGAAAGGGAUAAAUAUGAAUGGUCAACGUUUUAAUGAUCAUGAUAUGGUGGGUAUUUAAAUAUUAAAAAACGCCACUUCGAUCCGCCCUAGCUGCAUUUUUCAGUUUGAACAUAGUCCCCGUACAAAUUAUAUGGAACCUCAUAUUUAAAUUAAAAGGAGUAUUUAUUGUUAACGUACAUCCAUGACAAAUUAGUAUAAUUAUUGAAGUUUGCUGAUCGUUCGUCCGAGGAGUAAAUUAUAAUAAAUUGAA
Long non-coding RNA from Strongylocentrotus purpuratus (purple sea urchin), 1050 nucleotides. RefSeq lists it as uncharacterized. Lineage: Eukaryota; Metazoa; Echinodermata; Echinoidea; Camarodonta; Strongylocentrotidae. The record is from RefSeq and is a predicted model, not a curated record. The transcript is spliced from 5 exons.